CGCGUAGGCGGCUUUAUAAGUCAGAUGUGAAAUCCCACGGCUCAACUGUGGAAGUGCAUUUGAAACUGUGAGGCUUGAGUAUCGGAGGGGAGUGUGGAAUUCCCGGUGUAGAGGUGAAAUUCGUAGAGAUCGGGAGGAACACCGGUGGCGAAGGCGACACUCUGGACGAAUACUGACGCUGAGGCGCGAAAGCGUGGGGAGCAAACA
Molecule: ribosomal RNA, 207 nt
Filed under: uncultured bacterium
Lineage: Bacteria
Description: partial 16S ribosomal RNA
Rfam family: Bacterial small subunit ribosomal RNA
Source: RNAcentral